GAUGAACGCUGGCGGCGUGCCUAAUACAUGCCAGUCGAGCGAACGGACGAGAAUCUUGCUUCUCUGAUGUUAGCGGCGGACGGGUGAGUAACACGUGGAUAACCUACCUAUAAGACUGGGAUAACUUCGGGAAACCGGAGCUAAUACCGGAUAAUAUUUUGAACCGCAGGGUUCAAAAGUGAAAGACGGUGUUGCUGUCACUUAUAGAUGGAUCCGCGCUGCAUUAGCUAGUUGGUAAGGUAACGGCUUACCAAGGCAACGAUGCAUAGCCGAGCUGAGAGGGUGAUCGCCCACACUGGAACUGAUACACGGUCCAGACUCCUACGGGAGGCAGCAGUAGGGAAUCUUACGCAAUGGGCGAAAGCCUGACGGAGCAACGCCGCGUGAGUGAUGAAGGUCUUCGGAUCGUAAAACUCUGUUAUUAGGGAAGAACAUAUGUGUAAGUAACUGUGCACAUCUUGACGGUACCUAAUCAGAAAGCCACGGCUAACUACGUG
This 497-nucleotide ribosomal RNA is filed under the name uncultured bacterium. Its description in RNAcentral is "partial 16S ribosomal RNA". It matches the Rfam family "Bacterial small subunit ribosomal RNA", at positions 28 to 507 of the family's 1533-position model. The record is from RNAcentral.